This 322-nucleotide ribosomal RNA is filed under the name Salmonella enterica subsp. enterica serovar Sandiego. RNAcentral describes it as "partial 23S ribosomal RNA". It matches the Rfam family "Bacterial large subunit ribosomal RNA", at positions 10 to 368 of the family's 2925-position model. The record is from RNAcentral. Lineage: Bacteria; Pseudomonadati; Pseudomonadota; Gammaproteobacteria; Enterobacterales; Enterobacteriaceae.
ACUAAGCGUACACGGUGGAUGCCCUGGCAGUCAGAGGCGAUGAAGGGCGUGCUAAUCUGCGAUAAGCGCCGGUAAGGUGAUAUGAACCGUUAUAACCGGCGAUACCCGAAUGGGGAAACCCAGUGUGACUCGUCACACUAUCAUUAACUGAAUCCAUAGGUUAAUGAGGCGAACCGGGGGAACUGAAACAUCUAAGUACCCCGAGGAAAAGAAAUCAACCGAGAUUCCCCCAGUAGCGGCGAGCGAACGGGGAGGAGCCCAGAGCCUGAAUCAGCAUGUGUGUUAGUGGAAGCGUCUGGAAAGGCGCGCGAUACAGGGUGAC